RNAcentral lists this transfer RNA (74 nucleotides) under Oscillospiraceae bacterium. RNAcentral describes it as "tRNA-Gly". It matches the Rfam family "tRNA". From Rfam's summary of the family: Transfer RNA (tRNA) molecules are approximately 80 nucleotides in length. Lineage: Bacteria; Bacillati; Bacillota; Clostridia; Eubacteriales; Oscillospiraceae. The record is from RNAcentral.
GCGGGAUUAGUUCAUCGGUAGAAUUUCUGCUUCCCAAGCAGACUAGGCGGGUUCGACUCCCGUAUCCCGCUCCA